RNAcentral lists this transfer RNA (70 nucleotides) under Pyrrhura rupicola (black-capped parakeet). Its description in RNAcentral is "tRNA-Arg". It matches the Rfam family "tRNA". Rfam says of the family: Transfer RNA (tRNA) molecules are approximately 80 nucleotides in length. Their secondary structure includes four short double-helical elements and three loops (D, anti-codon, and T loops). Lineage: Eukaryota; Metazoa; Chordata; Aves; Psittaciformes; Psittacidae. RNAcentral also lists the same sequence under 2 other names. The record is from RNAcentral.
AGAGAGUUAGUCUAAAAACAAGACAGUUGAUUUCGACUCAACAAACCAUAGUCUACUCUAUGACUUUCUU